This is a long non-coding RNA of Capsicum annuum, 1223 nucleotides long. RefSeq lists it as uncharacterized. Lineage: Eukaryota; Viridiplantae; Streptophyta; Magnoliopsida; Solanales; Solanaceae. The record is from RefSeq and is a predicted model, not a curated record. The transcript is spliced from 2 exons.
GAUUAUUGUUAUUAUACUUACAUUACUGGUGUUUACUAGUAGUCCUUUCAAUAUGGUGGAGACUCGCAUGUCAAUGCUCUAACUGUGAGAUUUAUAGGACUGAUAGUUUUAAUACCCGUGAUUUGCCUUAAAUUACAACUUAUUUACCAGUACUGAAAGGAAUCUAAUCCCAAUUAAAUAGAAAAAAUACAGAGGGUUCAUUGCUAGGAAUUCUGGGUAACUUUCUGCAUUCCCUAAGGUUACCUUAAGGUUACAGGUGAAGCCGAUCCAACUCGUUUUGGAUUGAUGCCUAGCUCAUUGAUUGAUCUAUCAGGAUGUAAUUCUUCCAUCCCAAGAUCAUCAGUUCAUUAAUUUUAUCAAGUUCUUCUUGCUUAGCGGGCAAAGCGCUCGAAAUUUGCACCCAAGGAUGUGGCUUAGUGGUCAAUUACGUAGACUAGACACCAUGAAGUCUUACGUUCAAUUGACAAAACACUAAGUGAUUUCUUUCCAUUUGCUCUAGCCUUGGUGGACAGAGUUAUCAGCGCGUAAGUUGGACCGACACCAAGGGUAUCAGGAAAUCUCCAACAACAAACAACAUCUGCGGUGCUCGAACUCGUCAAAAAUGUCACGGGGUGCGUGUCAGAUCCUUUAAAAGUAGCUUAUUUUUUACACGGUUUUGGAGAGUUGGAGCAACUUAGAACAACAUAACCCCAUUUAAGGUGAACACUAGUAUUUAAUAUCUUGUAUAAAUUGCAGGAUUAGGUGCGGUAUAAACCCAUAAUCACGUACAGCUAGCUCAAAUUAAAUAAGGGAUAAGGAUAGAUAGUUCAUACUCUUUAGAAAGAAUGGUAAUGAUCUCGAAAAGGACAAGUUGAAAAAGAUUGCAAGAGAAAGAGAAAACAACACUGAAGAUGAUCUGAACAAGUACUCUCUUCUCUUCAUACUCUUUGUACAAUCUGCGAUUCAAGAACCAUAAACAUGUCCAAUCCAGUAAGGAUAAUGAUCCAACUGCAGUUACUCCUUCUACAAGGCCGUUAGACUCCACAUUUCAGCAUUUCAGUAUCAAACAAUGAUGAAGAUCAACUACCAUGUAUUUGGCACCAACUUGCUUCACAAUACUUGUCUUUUCAACAGAAAAGAAAAUCACCUAAAUCUACCGUCUUCUUGCUAUUGAGAUUUGAUUUUGUUUAGUUUUUGUGAUACUCAGAUUUUUGGGAAGGGGAAAAGAGAGAUUUUCUCAAAAG